Molecule: ribosomal RNA, 432 nt
Filed under: uncultured bacterium
Lineage: Bacteria
Description: partial 16S ribosomal RNA
Rfam family: Bacterial small subunit ribosomal RNA
Source: RNAcentral
CCUACGGGGGGCAGCAAUUAGGAAUCUUGCACAAUGGGCGAAAGCCUGAUGCAGCGACGCCGCGUGGAGGAUGACGGCCUUCGGGUUGUAAACUCCUUUUAUCAGGGAGACGGUACCUGAUGAAUAAGCCACGGCUAACUCCGUGCCAGCAGCCGCGGUAAUACGGAGGUGGCGAGCGUUGUCCGAAGUUACUGGGCGUAAAGCGCGCGUAGGCGGGCUAGUAAGUCGGAAGUGAAAGGCUGAGGCUUAACCUCAGCAGUGCUCCCGAUACUGUUAGUCUUGAGGGCGGCAGGGAGAAGUGGAAUGGCUGGUGUAGCGGUGAAAUGCGUAGAUAUCAGUCGGAACACCGGUGGCGAAGGCGGCUUCUUGGGCCGUCCUGACGCUGAGGCGCGAAAGCCAGGGGAGCGAACGGGAUUAGAUACCCUUGUAGUC